Molecule: long non-coding RNA, 352 nt
Organism: Dromaius novaehollandiae (emu)
Lineage: Eukaryota; Metazoa; Chordata; Aves; Casuariiformes; Dromaiidae
Exons: 3
Source: RefSeq, a predicted model, not a curated record
CCUUUCAGAGCAUUUUCUAGUUUUCCUACCUGCGUUUUGUAAGCCCCUCUUGUCAGAUGAAAGAAGUUGUGCCAAAAGUGACUGAUUUUUCUUCAUGGGGGAGAAGCAAGAGUAGCUUUUCUCCUCCAACCGUGCUUCCUAGAGGUUUGCGGAUUCUAGAUGCAGCAAGUCACCUCUUCCUCAGGCUCACUCACUGACAAGCCCCUUCCAAAGCAUACAGGAACUUACUCAGGCACCAAUGCGACAGCUAAAACAGAAUUACCCUUGCACCCCAGGUACCAUUGAUCGGAGAAAUGUGAAAGCAAAGGGAUGCAUUAUUAUCUGAAUCACAGUGAUAUCAACAAGCAAAAAG